AUGAGCUUCGCCCCACAACCUAGCUCAUACCAAAAUAAUUACUCAUAUGGGUGGCCUGAAAACCAGAAUAUGUCAUAUAGGAGCAACAACCCUGAGAUCUCAUCGUUUGCCUCUAGUUAUCCAUUGCAGGGAUUUAGGUAUGAAGGGGAGAGCCACAACUAUGCACCACAACAGUUUUAUUCACCUCCUACUCAUAUACCACAGCACCAGCAGAUCUGUCCAAUGGAGUUAAAUGGUCCUCCAUUUGGUCAACCAACAACUCCAGCACCUGUUGUGCAAUCUCAUGUGCAAGUGCCCACACAAGAUGAGUUCGAUGACAUAGACAAGCUCACACUUUUGAGUCUCGAGUUCAGUUGGAGUGCCGAGGAUGAUCCUAUUAGGAAGGUUAUUCUAGAGGAAAUGAAGAAGAUCAAGAGUGGAAAAGAGCUAGUGGAAGAAGUAAGGAAGAUUGAGAAGAACAUCAACGCUGGCAGCACUAUUUCUUCACAGCUUGAGUUGAGUGUGGCUGAGAUAUCCAUGGAUACAUGUGAGGUUCCAACACCUUCAAAUUUAGUUGAGCAAGACACCGAGAGCCCAGAGGAAGAAAGACCUCAGAUUGAAGAAGAAAUUCUCGAAGCCAAGGAACAAGAUGAACCAGAGCUUGAAUGCCCAAGUGAUCAAGAUGAAGAUCCGCUACCAAUCACUCAUGAAGAAUUAUGUUCCUGA
This 705-nucleotide ribosomal RNA is filed under the name Triticum aestivum (bread wheat). RNAcentral's name for it is "partial small subunit ribosomal RNA". Lineage: Eukaryota; Viridiplantae; Streptophyta; Magnoliopsida; Poales; Poaceae. The record is from RNAcentral.